UACGAAGGGGGCUAGCGUUGCUCGGAAUUACUGGGCGUAAAGGGAGCGUAGGCGGAUAGUUCAGUCAGAGGUGAAAGCCCAGGGCUCAACCUUGGAAUUGCCUUUGAUACUGGCUGUCUUGAGUAUGGGAGAGGUUAGCGGAACUCCGAGUGUAGAGGUGAAAUUCGUAGAUAUUCGGAAGAACACCAGUGGCGAAGGCGGCUAACUGGCCCAUUACUGACGCUGAGGCACGGAAAGCGUGGGAGCAAACAGGGA
Molecule: ribosomal RNA, 255 nt
Filed under: uncultured bacterium
Lineage: Bacteria
Description: partial 16S ribosomal RNA
Rfam family: Bacterial small subunit ribosomal RNA
Source: RNAcentral